UGAGGAAUAUUGGUCAAUGGAGGCAACUCUGAACCAGCCAUGCCGCGUGCAGGAUGACGGUCCUAUGGAUUGUAAACUGCUUUUGUACAGGAAGAAACCUCUCUACGAGUAGAGACUUGACGGUACUGUAAGAAUAAGGAUCGGCUAACUCCGUGCCAGCAGCCGCGGUAAUACGGAGGAUCCGAGCGUUAUCCGGAAUUAUUGGGUUUAAAGGGUUCGUAGGCGGUCAGAUAAGUCAGUGGUGAAAUUUCUUAGCUUAACUAAGACACGGCCAUUGAUACUGUUUGACUUGAAUAGUAUGGAAGUAACUAGAAUAUGUAGUGUAGCGGUGAAAUGCUUAGAUAUUACAUGGAAUACCAAUUGCGAAGGCAGGUUACUACGUAUUUAUUGACGCUGAUGAACGAAAGCGUGGGGAGCGAACAGGAUUAGA
RNAcentral lists this ribosomal RNA (430 nucleotides) under uncultured bacterium. RNAcentral describes it as "bacterial SSU rRNA". It matches the Rfam family "Bacterial small subunit ribosomal RNA", at positions 355 to 782 of the family's 1533-position model. The record is from RNAcentral.